RNAcentral lists this ribosomal RNA (741 nucleotides) under uncultured bacterium. RNAcentral's name for it is "bacterial SSU rRNA". It matches the Rfam family "Bacterial small subunit ribosomal RNA", at positions 56 to 791 of the family's 1533-position model. The record is from RNAcentral.
UGCAAGUCGAGCGGGGGAAGGUAGCUUGCUACUGGACCUAGCGGCGGACGGGUGAGUAAUGCUUAGGAAUCUGCCUAUUAGUGGGGGACAACAUUCCGAAAGGAAUGCUAAUACCGCAUACGUCCUACGGGAGAAAGCAGGGGACCUUCGGGCCUUGCGCUAAUAGAUGAGCCUAAGUCGGAUUAGCUAGUUGGUGGGGUAAAGGCCUACCAAGGCGACGAUCUGUAGCGGGUCUGAGAGGAUGAUCCGCCACACUGGGACUGAGACACGGCCCAGACUCCUACGGGAGGCAGCAGUGGGGAAUAUUGGACAAUGGGGGGAACCCUGAUCCAGCCAUGCCGCGUGUGUGAAGAAGGCCUUAUGGUUGUAAAGCACUUUAAGCGAGGAGGAGGCUACUAGUAUUAAUACUACUGGAUAGUGGACGUUACUCGCAGAAUAAGCACCGGCUAACUCUGUGCCAGCAGCCGCGGUAAUACAGAGGGUGCGAGCGUUAAUCGGAUUUACUGGGCGUAAAGCGUGCGUAGGCGGCCAUUUAAGUCAAAUGUGAAAUCCCCGAGCUUAACUUGGGAAUUGCAUUCGAUACUGGAUGGCUAGAGUAUGGGAGAGGAUGGUAGAAUUCCAGGUGUAGCGGUGAAAUGCGUAGAGAUCUGGAGGAAUACCGAUGGCGAAGGCAGCCAUCUGGCCUAAUACUGACGCUGAGGUACGAAAGCAUGGGGAGCAAACAGGAUUAGAUACCCUGGU